AAGGUUUUAAGUUAAAAUUAAACUAUUAAUCUUCAAAAUUAAAAAUAAAACAUAAAUUUUUAAGCCUUA
Molecule: transfer RNA, 69 nt
Filed under: Stenopsyche tienmushanensis
Lineage: Eukaryota; Metazoa; Arthropoda; Insecta; Trichoptera; Stenopsychidae
Description: tRNA-Trp
Source: RNAcentral